RNAcentral lists this ribosomal RNA (433 nucleotides) under uncultured bacterium. RNAcentral describes it as "partial 16S ribosomal RNA". It matches the Rfam family "Bacterial small subunit ribosomal RNA", at positions 29 to 507 of the family's 1533-position model. The record is from RNAcentral.
AACGAACGCUGGCGGCAUGCCUAACACAUGCAAGUCGAACGAGACCUUCGGGUCUAGUGGCGCACAGGUGCGUAACGCGUGGGAACCUGCCCUUAGGUUCGGAAUAACUCCCCGAAAGGGGUGCUAAUACCGGAUAAUGUCUUCGGACCAAAGAUUUAUCGCCUUUGGAUGGGCCCGCGUUGGAUUAGCUAGUUGGUAGGGUAAAAGCCUACCAAGGCGACGAUCCAUAGCUGGUCUGAGAGGAUGAUCAGCCACACUGGGACUGGGACACGGCCCAGACUCCUACGGGAGGCAGCAGUGGGGAAUAUUGGACAAUGGGCGAAAGCCUGAUCCAGCAAUGCCGCGUGAGUGAUGAAGGCCUUAGGGUUGUAAAGCUCUUUUACUCGGGAUGAUAAUGACAGUACCGGGAGAAUAAGCUCCGGCUAACUCCGUG